UACGAAGGGAGCUAGCGUUGUUCGGAAUCACUGGGCGUAAAGCGCACGUAGGCGGAUGUGUCAGUCAGGGGUGAAAUCCCGGAGCUCAACUUCGGAACUGCCUUUGAUACAGCACGUCUUGAGUCCGAUAGAGGUGGGUGGAAUUCCUAGUGUAGAGGUGAAAUUCGUAGAUAUCAGGAGGAACACCGGCGGUGUAGACGGCUUACUGGACCAUGACUGACGCUGAGGCACGAAAGCGUGGGGAGCAAACAGG
Molecule: ribosomal RNA, 253 nt
Filed under: uncultured bacterium
Lineage: Bacteria
Description: partial 16S ribosomal RNA
Rfam family: Bacterial small subunit ribosomal RNA
Source: RNAcentral